RNAcentral lists this ribosomal RNA (467 nucleotides) under uncultured bacterium. RNAcentral describes it as "partial 16S ribosomal RNA". It matches the Rfam family "Bacterial small subunit ribosomal RNA", at positions 28 to 506 of the family's 1533-position model. The record is from RNAcentral.
GACGAACGCUGGCGGCGUGCUUAACACAUGCAAGUCGAACGGAAAGGCCCUGCUUUUGUGGGGUGCUCGAGUGGCGAACGGGUGAGUAACACGUGAGUAACCUGCCCUUGACUUUGGGAUAACUUCAGGAAACUGGGGCUAAUACCGGAUAGGAGCUCCUGCUGCAUGGUGGGGGUUGGAAAGUUUCGGCGGUUGGGGAUGGACUCGCGGCUUAUCAGCUUGUUGGUGGGGUAGUGGCUUACCAAGGCUUUGACGGGUAGCCGGCCUGAGAGGGUGACCGGCCACAUUGGGACUGAGAUACGGCCCAGACUCAUACGGGAGGCAGCAGUGGGGAAUAUUGCAAAAUGGGCGGAGGCCUGAUGCAGCAACGCCGCGUGCGGGAUGACGGCCUUCGGGUUGUAAACCGCUUUCGCCUGUGACGAAGCGUGAGUGACGGUAAUGGGUAAAGAAGCACCGGCUAACUACGU